UACGUAGGGGGCAAGCGUUGUCCGGAUUUAUUGGGCGUAAAGAGCGUGUAGGCGGCUUUACAGGUCCGUUGUGAAAACUCGAGGCUCAACCUCGAGACGCCGGUGGAAACCGUAAAGCUAGAGUCCGGAAGAGGAGAGUGGAAUUCCCGGUGUAGCGGUGAAAUGCGCAGAUAUCGGGAAGAACACCCGUGGCGAAGGCGGCUCUCUGGGACGGUACUGACGCUGAGACGCGAAAGCGUGGGGAGCGAACAGG
RNAcentral lists this ribosomal RNA (253 nucleotides) under uncultured bacterium. RNAcentral describes it as "partial 16S ribosomal RNA". It matches the Rfam family "Bacterial small subunit ribosomal RNA", at positions 524 to 776 of the family's 1533-position model. The record is from RNAcentral.